UUGAACGCUGGCGGCAGGCCUAACACAUGCAAGUCGAGCGGAUGAAGGGAGCUUGCUCCUGGAUUCAGCGGCGGACAGGUGAGUAAUGCCUAGGAAUCUGCCUGGUAGUGGGGGAUAACGUCCGGAAACGGGCGCUAAUACCGCAUACGUCCUGAGGGAGAAAGUGGGGGAUCUUCGGACCUCACGCUAUCAGAUGAGCCUAGGUCGGAUUAGCUAGUUGGUGGGGUAAAGGCCUACCAAGGCGACGAUCCGUAACUGGUCUGAGAGGAUGAUCAGUCACACUGGAACUGAGACACGGUCCAGACUCCUACGGGAGGCAGCAGUGGGGAAUAUUGGACAAUGGGCGAAAGCCUGAUCCAGCCAUGCCGCGUGUGUGAAGAAGGUCUUCGGAUUGUAAAGCACUUUAAGUUGGGAGGAAGGGCAGUAAGUUAAUACCUUGCUGUUUUGACGUUACCAACAGAAUAAGCACCGGCUAACUUCGUG
This 483-nucleotide ribosomal RNA is filed under the name uncultured bacterium. Its description in RNAcentral is "partial 16S ribosomal RNA". It matches the Rfam family "Bacterial small subunit ribosomal RNA", at positions 30 to 507 of the family's 1533-position model. The record is from RNAcentral.